GCCGGAGUGGUGAAAUUGGUAGACGCAGGGGACUCAAAAUCCCCCGGGGUAAAACCCGUGCCGGUUCGAUUCCGGCCUCCGGCA
This 84-nucleotide transfer RNA is filed under the name Ramlibacter tataouinensis. It matches the Rfam family "tRNA". Rfam says of the family: Transfer RNA (tRNA) molecules are approximately 80 nucleotides in length. Their secondary structure includes four short double-helical elements and three loops (D, anti-codon, and T loops). The record is from Rfam by way of RNAcentral. Lineage: Bacteria; Pseudomonadati; Pseudomonadota; Betaproteobacteria; Burkholderiales; Comamonadaceae. RNAcentral also lists the same sequence under 2 other names.